RNAcentral lists this ribosomal RNA (301 nucleotides) under uncultured bacterium. Its description in RNAcentral is "partial 16S ribosomal RNA". It matches the Rfam family "Bacterial small subunit ribosomal RNA", at positions 509 to 809 of the family's 1533-position model. The record is from RNAcentral.
CAGUCGCCGCGGUAAUACGUAGGGUGCGAGCGUUAAUCGGAAUUACUGGGCGUAAAGCGUGCGCAGGCGGUUAUAUAAGUCAGAUGUGAAAUCCCCGGGCUCAACCUGGGAACUGCAUUUGAGACUGUAUGGCUAGAGCGUGUCAGAGGGGGGUAGAAUUCCACGUGUAGUAGUGAGAUGCGUAGAUAUGUGGAGGAAUACCGAUGGCGAAGGCAGCCCCCUGGGAUAACACUGACGCACAUGCACGAAAGCGUGGGGAGCAAACAGGAUUAGAUACCCGUGUAGUCCCUGUCUCUUAUAU